Molecule: unclassified non-coding RNA, 173 nt
Filed under: soil metagenome
Description: partial contains 5.8S ribosomal RNA, internal transcribed spacer 2, and large subunit ribosomal RNA
Source: RNAcentral
AACGAGGCCGACCUGCGGCUGAGUUACCUGCGGAGGGAUCAUUAAUAAAUGUUACUUCGGUAACUUAAUUAAUCCCUAACACCUGUGCAUCUUGUCGCUUCGGCGUCAUUUUAUAAACAUCAGUGUAAUGAAUGUAACGUAUUAUAACAAAUACAACUUUCAGCAAUGGAUCU